Molecule: long non-coding RNA, 1388 nt
Organism: Juglans regia (Persian walnut)
Lineage: Eukaryota; Viridiplantae; Streptophyta; Magnoliopsida; Fagales; Juglandaceae
Exons: 7
Source: RefSeq, a predicted model, not a curated record
AUGUGCGGUGUGGAUAGUCCUCUGCCUAGCCUAAUAAAAACAGACAAACAAACCACUCUUCCAUAAAAGCUGACUGUCCCCGUCCCGCCCCGAGUGUUGUAUGGAGAACAGAUGAUUCGACCGCAGCAAACUCAAGAACCAUCUCCUGCCCCCAAGUUCCCAAAUUGUUCCUAAAAAUAUACUUGCGAAGUCAAAAGGGUACAACCAGAAACGAUCAGAACCUCAUACUCAAAGACUCCGGUUCCUCAAAUCAUAUGCUCGGUAUUCAAUUUAGAGAAGAAAGUACUUCCUGCUAGGGCAUUUGAAGUCUGAUCCUCCUAAAUAUUGAUUUUUCAUUGAAAAAGCCCUCAGGUCCUAUCAUUUGCAGGAAAAAAGUAGUGACUUCCAGACCAGUGGUGCUCACCAGGCAUUUGUUGAUUGGUUUGGUUGCCAAACCAUACUUGUGUUUAUUCCAGGAUCGAAGGAGAGCUAAAAAAAAAGAUGGUUCUGAAAGGGAGAUAUUUGGAGUGCCAGCAGUAUUGAGAAACGUAAUAGAUCUACCAACUCUAUGUAAAACAUUUGAAUAUGGGAAAGUGGAUACCUAGAGAAAGCAAUGCUCUCAGAAGUCCAUUCCUUACUAUGAAAUUGAAGGCUGUGGUGCAGCAUUACCAGAGUUGGUUUGCUGCCAGAUAAUUUGGUCAUUUGCAAUGAAACUCAAUUGGGUGAAGGAGAAGCUAAAAGCAAGAGUCCUUUCUGGCUCUUAAGAUGUUUUUGGGCUGUCAAGAUAUAUGAAAUUUGGUUGCAAAAGCAUGGCUUUCCUCAAGGAUGAGAAUUUUAUCUUCAGUUGAUUUCUGGUUUCAUACCAAAAAAUCGAGCUAAUCCUGAAAGGUUUUUUGAUGGAUGAUAUCUAUCAAAAUUCAUCAUUCUCUGAAUUGGAUGAACCAGAUCCUAAAGAGCAGACUAUGGAUUUGUUCACAAAAGACCUUGACUAUAUGGAGAAGAUAAAGGAGUUGCAGGGUUACCUUGACAUGUUAUUCAAAGAGUGAGCAGCUCUCCUCCCAUUGACAAAUUACAAUGCUGCAGUUUCCUCCCAUUUUAAACUAGAUGGAAGGUAAAGAAGAUAGCGAGGCCAGGUUGCUCACAAGAAGUUCUGAAUGUGGCCUUGAGUUCCAUGUCCUCUCUUGUCAACUUCCUCUCCUCCAUGUCCUCCAGAUCAAAAACCCUGUCCUCACUUUGACAAUGUUACCAUGAUUGGAGAGAACAAUCAGUUACCAAAUCUUGUUAUAUUUGCUUUUAUUAUACAAUGUCAAUUGAAGUCUACAUACAUGAACUGUGUAUAUUUUUAUUUCAUGAGAGUGCCCUUUAGAGUAUGAAAAGAGACAGAUAAAGGGGGGUCGCUUGGAGAAUUU